This 207-nucleotide ribosomal RNA is filed under the name uncultured bacterium. RNAcentral describes it as "partial 16S ribosomal RNA". It matches the Rfam family "Bacterial small subunit ribosomal RNA", at positions 568 to 774 of the family's 1533-position model. The record is from RNAcentral.
UGCGUAGGUGGUGAGGUAAGUCGGAUGUGAAAUCUCGGAGCUCAACUCCGAAAUGGCAUUGGAAACUACCUUGCUCGAGGAAUGGAGGGGGGACUGGAAUUCUCGGUGUAGCAGUGAAAUGCGUAGAUAUCGAGAGGAACACCAGUGGCGAAGGCGAGUCCCUGGACAUCUCCUGACACUGAGGCACGAAAGCUAGGGGAGCAAACA